UUGUUUGAAACUUUUUCAAUUUAUUGCUUCUCUAGUACUUUUUAAGUAAUUUAAGAAUACUUUUCAUAGUUUUCAUAAGAUUCUAUCAUGGAUCUACCUAAAAUCAACAAUUAUGCUCAAGGUAUAAAUUACAUCAGGCUUGGUACAUUGAAUAUAUGGGUAAGUAAACACCUUUACACCUAUUAAUGUUGAAUUCUUUCAACAUUAAUUCCAUGUACCU
This 220-nucleotide long non-coding RNA is filed under the name Elaeis guineensis (African oil palm). RNAcentral's name for it is "long non-coding RNA (EGUI_LNC055473)". The record is from RNAcentral. Lineage: Eukaryota; Viridiplantae; Streptophyta; Magnoliopsida; Arecales; Arecaceae.